CACCUGACCAACGCAAACUCUUGAUAGCAACGAGAUGUCGUGCUCACUUACAUAUAAGAAACCAAACCAAUGCCUCUCACCGCAAAUUCUAGUCGGACAGUUAACUGGUGGUCCUUGAAUUCUUUGGCGAACUAAUCGCGGCUCCAGAACACACAUUAUUACAUCAAGUGAAAGAGGAUAACUUUAUAUAUUGUAAUUAUUUAAUACUACACUAGUUAUUUAUAAAUUUUACUAGAUGACUCCGUCUCAAUAUAUCGAGUUUCAUAAUUUUAUUUAUAUAAAACCCCAGUUGUGUUCUAGACAAAUUAGCAAGAGAUGAGGAAAUUACAAUUCAUCCCAAGUACGAAACGGGAUUUCACGAUGCAACAAUUAGCGGCAGGUGGAUUACGACAUAGAUAGGAAUCUGGAGAUUUGCCAGUACCUAUGAUAAGAUGGAUGUAGAGGUUGCUGGAGUCUGAGUGACUGGUCAGAAACGACUGAGUAUAUAUAUAAGAAAAUUCUAGCCACACGAUGAGUGAACGCCGAUGAGAUACCACCUGGGGGAAUGCGCUCACCUCUCCAGAAAUCCGGCCACUGGAACUUAAAUCGCAUGUGCAUGACGUUUUUUAAUUUACGAUAAUGUAUUGGUUCAAAUUUCAUCAUCAUCACAAAUAAUAAACUAGUUUCUAGAUCCUUUUUUUUUAAUCUCAAAAAAUAAGGGAAUUUAAAUAUAAUUAAUUAUUAUGAUACUGGUUAGCCGAGGUCUACUAAUUUUUGAAUUUUUUUAAAAAUGAUAAAUUAUAAAAUAAAAAAUUGCACCUAUAACUUUUUUAAUAUUCUACACCCGCAUAUUUUUAGUUUUUUUUUUUUUGCAACCGACCCGUGUAAAAAAAUUGUUGAAAAAAGGUUAAAAAAGUGUUGACUAUUCUAAACUUCAAAACUUUACACAAUGACGAACUUUUUUUAAACGAUUUUUAAACUUCUAAAAAUGCACGUAAAAAAAACAAUUAAAUUAAUAGUACAAAUUAAAAUUUUUUAGUGCAAAAUACGUUCAGAAAAAACGGAUUUCUAACUAUUUCUGACCAUUUUUCAUUUUAUCAUAUCUAGGGCCAGGAUUUUUGCUUUGAUUUAAAAAUAAUAAUCAAUAAUCAAUCGUGUGAAAUUUUUGAUAUUACGGCAAAAAUAUUGGUCGUAUAAAAAAUUUUUUUAAACAAAAGUUGUAGGAAAUUUAAUUUUAUAAAAAAAAUGUCUCUUAUAAUAUUUUCGUAGCACCAAUAAAAAAGCCGUAAUUUCAAAAUUAAGAAUUUCGUAAUUAUCAAAAAUUUGAAUCACUCAUUAUGAAACUUAAUUUUGGAAUUACGAUUAAAAUAUUGGUCGUUUAAAAAAAUAAUACGAGAGAUUUAUUUUAGAAAAUUGAAUUUCCUACAACUUUUGUUUGAAAACUUUUAUGAUAAAACAAAUAUUUUCGCUGGAAUAUCCAACAUUUGAAUAAUUCAUUUAAAAAUUAAGGUAAAAAUCUUGUCCCUAAUCAUAUCUUAAUUAAAUUAUGACAUUUGUUGAUUUUCCCUUUGAAUUUUUAAAAGUUUAAAAAGCGUUCAAAAAAAGUAUGUCGUUGUGUCACGUUUUGAAGUUUACAAUAGUCAACACUUUUUUAACCUUUUUUUAACAAUUUUUUUUACACAGGGAGUUGUUGGAAAAAAAUAAAAAAAUUGUUAAUUGUCUGCUGACUUCGGAAUCAUGAAUUGUUUAUUAUUUUGAUCUUCAUAAAUUGCAAUCAAUUUUAGUUGUACGAUUAUUUAUAAUCUAUAUGAUUAAUUAUAAAUUUCUCGAUAAGAUAAUUUUGAUUGUCAUUGAUUCAGUGUUUUGAACUUUAAACAAUUUAUCGAAGAUUGUUUAAUUAAUCCGAUACAUCAAAAUAAGUUUUCAACGUUCACUGAGUGCGGGCACAGAGUUUAUGCAAUUUAUUUAUUUUGUAUUUAUAUUUAAAAUUAAUAUUUAUUAUAUUUUUUCCAUUAUAAUCAAUCAUUUUAUUCAAUAAAGAAAAUAUCGUCAAGAUUUUGCUGCUAUUUUUUUACUCGAUGAUGUAUUCGUUGUAAAAUAUUUUUAUUACUUAAAUUAUGUGUUCAAAAUUAUAGACAUUAAUUUUAUUAAUUUAUCUUUGACGUAUAGAUGAAUUGUUUUCAAUAAAAACAAAUGUAUUUUUAUUGUUUAUGCUGAGCACAAGCUGUAAAUAUGACAUAUAUUAUAUUUAUCAUGUUUGAUGAUCGAGGCUUAUAUAUAUAAAAGGAUUAUGAUGAAUAUUUUAUCGGUGUCUUUUGAAUAAAUUUUUUUCGGUAGCGAUUAAAUGCUCAGUUGAAUUUAAAUAUGAAUACUAAAUUUUUUUUCUUUUAUUUUUUUUUUUUAAUUAUAAAUUUUUCA
Molecule: long non-coding RNA, 2397 nt
Organism: Microplitis mediator
Lineage: Eukaryota; Metazoa; Arthropoda; Insecta; Hymenoptera; Braconidae
Exons: 4
Source: RefSeq, a predicted model, not a curated record